This 25-nucleotide non-coding RNA is filed under the name Rattus norvegicus (Norway rat). The record is from RNAcentral. Lineage: Eukaryota; Metazoa; Chordata; Mammalia; Rodentia; Muridae.
AUUAAGCCAUUGUCUAGAGCAAGAC